GUGGAAUCUCCAAGGUCAGCUCUCUGUCUUGAGGUGCAUGGAGAGUGUCUGUGCCUUCAGGGUGUGGAGGGUGCCGAGGCUCAGGGAGAGGCUCCCAUCCACAGCUCUGGCCUUUGGCCUCCUGUUAUCGUUGCCAUCCUUCUGCAAGCUCUUCAGGUACUGGUGGUGAUCACUUGGUGACAGCGCAUUGCUGGCGUGGGAUGGCAACCAGGUGGUCUACCCAUUAAAUCCCUCUGGACUGCCCUAAAAAGAGGUCCAAAUACUUUCAUCCAAAGCUGCCUGCAUGUGCUCUGUUUUUGGACCUGUCUUUGACCUUGGCCUUUUGCUCCCCACCUGCAUCCACGCAGAGCCCCUUGGUGGCCUGGAGCCUCUCUGCCCUCUGAGGUGGCUGUCUUUGCUCUAACUGCU
Molecule: long non-coding RNA, 408 nt
Filed under: Marmota monax (woodchuck)
Lineage: Eukaryota; Metazoa; Chordata; Mammalia; Rodentia; Sciuridae
Source: RNAcentral